This 407-nucleotide ribosomal RNA is filed under the name uncultured bacterium. RNAcentral's name for it is "partial 16S ribosomal RNA". It matches the Rfam family "Bacterial small subunit ribosomal RNA", at positions 30 to 526 of the family's 1533-position model. The record is from RNAcentral.
AUUGAACGCUGGCGGCAGGCCUAACACAUGCAAGUCGAGCGGAGCGGCGGACGGGUGAGUACUGCCUAGGAAUCUGCCUGGUAGUGGGGGAUACCGUCCGGAAACGGGCGCUAAUACCGCAUACUAUCAGAUGAGCCUAGGUCGGAUUAGCUAGUGGGGGGGGUAAAGGCAUACCAAGGCGACGAUCCGUAACUGGUCUGAGAGGAUGAUCAGUCACACUGGAAGGUAGAAACGGGCCAGACUCCGACGGGAGGCAGCAGUGGGGAAUAUUGGACAAUGGGAGAAAGCCUGAUCCAGCCAUGCCGCGUGUGUGAAGAAGGUCUUCGGAUUGUAAAGCACUUUAAGUUGGGAGGCGUUACCAACAGAAUAAGCACCGGCUAACUUCGUGCCAGCAGCCGCGGUAAUUC